ACACGUCUUUUUGUGAUCGUGGCAUGUCGUGCCUGCAGUGUGCUACCUCGGCGUGUGAUGAGUGCGCGCGCGAUAUUGCAGUCUCUGUGUGGUCGUGUUACUGAUUUGCGAACAUGAGAGACGUACCACUUAAGCGUUGUGUGCAGAGGUGCCGCGCAAACUACCCUAUCGAGCCGGUGUUUUUCUACUUCCCGAAGGACGAAAGCCGCCGUCGUAAGUUGUUAUGGGCUAUACCGGGGAAGCAAUACGAAGCGAACAGCUCUACGGAGGUGCAAAGAUAAAUGAAUGUUGAACUUCCAAGUACUUACUGCCAAUUUCCAUCUCUUCAAUUUCAUUAUCAGCAUCUGCAAAAUGAACAAGGAGGAUUGUGGCUCGAACAAAUAGCGAAAGAUGCAAGUCCUGCAAAGCCCUUCAAAAAAGACCUGAAGCAAAUUCUCUAACCUAAUAGCGUCC
Molecule: long non-coding RNA, 453 nt
Organism: Dermacentor andersoni
Lineage: Eukaryota; Metazoa; Arthropoda; Arachnida; Ixodida; Ixodidae
Source: RefSeq, a predicted model, not a curated record